CACAGAUGUUUAUUCCAGGAAGAGGUCUAAGAAACGAGCUUCUUAGAGCAUGUGUCACGGGGCAGCCAGUCCUGGGGCUCUCAGAGCCAGCCCCCUCCCUUCAGCAGCUGAAGCAAUAGCGCCCCCAUUUUACAGGCGGAGCAUGGAAGCCAGAGAGGUGGGUGGGGGAGGGGGUCCUUCCCUGGCUCAGGCAGAUGGGAAGAUGAGGAAGCCGCUGAAGACGCUGUCGGCCUCAGAGCCCUGGUAAAUGUGACCCUUUUUGGGGUCUUUUUCAACCCAGACCUGGUCACCCUGCUGCAGCUGAAGCACCAUGCCCCCUGACACCACCUGGAAGAGCCCCUUGUUGGUGGUGUCACAGAAGCCCAGGGAGCGUCGGACCUGGCCCCUUGAGGAGGAGACGAUGGACAGGCAGAUUUCCCACUGGGACAGCACCUGGAAGGUGAAGUAGUAGUAGCCGGGUACAGUGCAGACGAAUCGGCCGGAGUGGUUCUGGUACGGUUCUUCCUGGUUGGUGAUGACCGUGUCGAAGAUGACCACGUUGCCCCCCAUUGGGGGGUUCCGCCGAAUGGCGGAGAAGGCUGGCCUCGGCUGGUCCUUGAUGUUUCCUGGGCUGCCCUUGGUGCCUUUAAUUCCCGGGAUGCCACGGGCUCCGAGGGGGCCGCUGGGCCCUGGGUAGCCCACCUUGCCGGGGUUUCCAGAGGGCCCAGGUUCCCCCUGGUCUCCUUUAAGGCCUUGGAUGCCUGUCCGGAUGCCAGGGGCCCCCGGCUCCCCUUGCUCCCCCUUGAGGCCUGGCCGCCCCCGUCUGCCAGGUCUUCCUGCCUCCCCUUUCUUCCCGUCUGGUGCUCGGCACAAGUCCUCGGUCACCAUAGAGGCCAGCGAUAUGGCCAGCACACAGAGCACCAGCCAUCCCCGGGGACCCUCCAUGAUGCCUCUGCCUCCUGUUGUCAACUCCAACUGGAUGCUCCUGCCCUCCGCCCAGGGACCCUGUGGGCUGCCCAGCAGGAGUGGCUCCAGGCUG
This 1018-nucleotide long non-coding RNA is filed under the name Homo sapiens (human). Its description in RNAcentral is "LNC_000277". The record is from RNAcentral. Lineage: Eukaryota; Metazoa; Chordata; Mammalia; Primates; Hominidae.